GAUGAACGCUGGCGGCGUGCUUAACACAUGCAAGUCGAACGGAAAGGCCCAAGCUUGCUUGGGUACUCGAGUGGCGAACGGGUGAGUAACACGUGGGUGAUCUGCCCUGCACUUCGGGAUAAGCCUGGGAAACUGGGUCUAAUACCGGAUAGGACGAUGGUUUGGAUGCCAUUGUGGAAAGUUUUUUCGGUGUGGGAUGAGCUCGCGGCCUAUCAGCUUGUUGGUGGGGUAAUGGCCUACCAAGGCGUCGACGGGUAGCCGGCCUGAGAGGGUGUACGGCCACAUUGGAACUGAGAUACGGCCCAGACUCCUACGGGAGGCAGCAGUGGGGAAUAUUGCACAAUGGGCGAAAGCCUGAUGCAGCGACGCCGCGUGGGGGAUGACGGCCUUCGGGUUGUAAACUCCUUUCGCUAGGGACGAAGCGUUUUUGUGACGGUACCUGGAGAAGAAGCACCGGCUAACUACGUG
RNAcentral lists this ribosomal RNA (468 nucleotides) under uncultured bacterium. Its description in RNAcentral is "partial 16S ribosomal RNA". It matches the Rfam family "Bacterial small subunit ribosomal RNA", at positions 28 to 507 of the family's 1533-position model. The record is from RNAcentral.